CGGGGCGUAGCGCAGUUGGCUAGCGCGCAACGUUCGGGACGUUGAGGUCGUGGGUUCAACCCCCACCGCCCCGA
RNAcentral lists this transfer RNA (74 nucleotides) under Omnitrophica WOR_2 bacterium RIFCSPHIGHO2_01_FULL_48_9. RNAcentral's name for it is "tRNA-Pro". It matches the Rfam family "tRNA". From Rfam's summary of the family: Transfer RNA (tRNA) molecules are approximately 80 nucleotides in length. Their secondary structure includes four short double-helical elements and three loops (D, anti-codon, and T loops). Lineage: Bacteria; Pseudomonadati; Candidatus Omnitrophota. RNAcentral also lists the same sequence under 1 other name. The record is from RNAcentral.